RNAcentral lists this ribosomal RNA (689 nucleotides) under uncultured Bacteroides sp. RNAcentral's name for it is "bacterial SSU rRNA". It matches the Rfam family "Bacterial small subunit ribosomal RNA", at positions 32 to 715 of the family's 1533-position model. Lineage: Bacteria; Pseudomonadati; Bacteroidota; Bacteroidia; Bacteroidales; Bacteroidaceae. The record is from RNAcentral.
AACGCUAGCUACAGGCUUAACACAUGCAAGUAGAGGGGCAGCAUGGGGCAGCAAUGCCCCGAUGGCGACCUGCGGAUGGGUGAGUAACACGUAUCCAACCUGCCCGGCACUGGAGGAUAGCCUCCCGAAAGGGAAAUUAACACUCCAUGCCGUACCGUCGGGACAUCCCUUCGGUAUGAAAGUUUUACGGUGUCGGAUGGGGAUGCGGUCCAUUAGAUAGUAGGCGGGGCAACGGCCCACCUAGUCUUCGAUGGAUAGGGGUUCUGAGAGGAAGGUCCCCCACAUUGGAACUGAGACACGGUCCAAACUCCUACGGGAGGCAGCAGUGAGGAAUAUUGGUCAAUGGGCGCGAGCCUGAACCAGCCAAGUAGCGUGCAGGAUGACGGCCCUAUGGGUUGUAAACUGCUUUUUCGCGGGGGUAAAGUUCGCCACGUGUGGCGUUUUGCAAGUACCGCGUGAAUAAGGACCGGCUAAUUCCGUGCCAGCAGCCGCGGUAAUACGGAAGGUCCGAGCGUUAUCCGGAAUCAUUGGGUUUAAAGGGAGCGUAGGCGGGACGUCAAGUCAGCUGUGAAAACCCCGGGCUCAACCCGUGGCGUGCAGUUGAAACUGUCGUUCUUGAGUGCACAUAAGGAAGGUGGAAUUCGUGGUGUAGCGGUGAAAUGCUUAGAUAUCACGAAGAACUCCGAUUG